UACGUAGGGUGCAAGCGUUGUCCGGAAUUAUUGGGCGUAAAGAGCUUGUAGGCGGUUUGUCGCGUCUGCUGUGAAAUUUCGGGGCUCAACCCCGAACUUGCAGUGGGUACGGGCAGACUAGAGUGUGGUAGGGGAGACUGGAAUUCCUGGUGUAGCGGUGAAAUGCGCAGAUAUCAGGAGGAACACCGAUGGCGAAGGCAGGUCUCUGGGCCAUAACUGACGCUGAGAAGCGUAAGCAUGGGGAGCGAACAGG
This 253-nucleotide ribosomal RNA is filed under the name uncultured bacterium. Its description in RNAcentral is "partial 16S ribosomal RNA". It matches the Rfam family "Bacterial small subunit ribosomal RNA", at positions 524 to 776 of the family's 1533-position model. The record is from RNAcentral.